Molecule: ribosomal RNA, 143 nt
Filed under: uncultured type I methanotroph
Lineage: Bacteria; Pseudomonadati; Pseudomonadota; Gammaproteobacteria; Methylococcales; Methylococcaceae
Description: partial 16S ribosomal RNA
Rfam family: Bacterial small subunit ribosomal RNA
Source: RNAcentral
AAUAUUGGACAAUGGGCGCAAGCCUGAUCCAGCAAUACCGCGUGUGUGAAGAAGGCCCUAGGGUUGUAAAGCACUUUCAAUKGGGAGGAAAACCUGCCGGUCAAUACCCGGUAGCUUGACAUUACCUUUAGAAGAAGCACCGG